AACCUCCGCAAUGUGAGAAAUCGCGACGGGGGGAUCCCAAGUGCCAUUCUUAACGGGAUGGCUUUUCAUUAGUGUAAAGAGCUUUUGGAAUAAGAGCUGGGCAAGACCGGUGCCAGCCGCCGCGGUAACACCGGCAGCUCUAGGGGUAACAAUUUUUAUUGGGCCUAAAGCGUCCGUAGCCGGUUUAAUAAGUCUCUGGUGAAAUCCUGUAGCUUAACUGUGGGAAUUGCUGGAGAUACUAUUAGACUUGAGACCGGGAGAGGUUAGAGGUACUCCCAGGGUAGAGGUGAAAUUCUGUAAUCCUGGGAGGACCGCCUGUUGCGAAGGCGUCUAACUGGAACGGUUCUGACGGUGAGGGACGAAAGUUAGGGGCGCGAACCGGAUUAGAUACCCGGGUAGUCCUAACUGUAAACGAUGCGGACUUGGUGUUGGGGUGGCUUUGAGCUGCUUCAGUGCCGAAGGAAGCUGUUAAGUCCGCCGCCUGGGAAGUACGGUCGCAAGACUGAAACUUAAAGGAAUU
Molecule: ribosomal RNA, 520 nt
Filed under: uncultured bacterium
Lineage: Bacteria
Description: bacterial SSU rRNA
Rfam family: Archaeal small subunit ribosomal RNA
Source: RNAcentral